This 1367-nucleotide ribosomal RNA is filed under the name uncultured bacterium. RNAcentral's name for it is "bacterial SSU rRNA". It matches the Rfam family "Bacterial small subunit ribosomal RNA", at positions 28 to 1381 of the family's 1533-position model. The record is from RNAcentral.
AUUGAACGCUGGCGGCAUGCUUUACACAUGCAAGUCGAACGGCAUCGGGGAGGAGCUUGCUCCUCUGCCGGCGAGUGGCGAACAGCUGAUUAAUACAUCGCAUCUUGUCGAGAAAAGGGGGAUAACCAUCCAAAAGGGUGGCUCAUACCGCAUAGAUUCUGAUGAAGAAAGCUGGGGACCUACCGAUAAGCCUAACGCUUUUUGACCGGACUAUGGCGGAUUAGCUAGUUGGUGACGUAAAGGCUCUCCUCUGCGAAGAUCUGGAGCGGGUCUGACAGGAUGAUCCGCCUCACUGGGACUGAAACACCGUCCAGACUCCUACGGGAGGCAACAUUGGGGAAUUUUGGACAAUGGGGGCAACCCUGAUCCCGCCAUGCCGCAUGGAUCAAUAAGGUCUUAAGGUUGUAAAGUACUUUUGUUACGGAACAAAAGUCAGCUGUGAAUAAUGGCUGGUACUGACAGCACCUAAUGAAUAAGCGCCGGCUAACUACGUGCCACCAACCGCGGUAAUACGUAUGGUGCGAGCGGUAAUCAGAAUUAUUGGGCGUCAAGCUUAGUGUACACGGUUAUUUAAGCCGCAUGUGAAAUACCCGAUCCUAACUUGGCAGGUGCAUUUGGAACUGGGAAGCUAGAGUGUUUUGAGGGAGGUAGAACUCCACGUGUAGCAGUGAAAUGCGUAGAGAUGUGGAAGAAUACCGAUGGCGAAGGCAGCCUCCUGGGAUAACACUGACGUUGAGGCUCGAAAGCGUGGGGAGCAAACAGGAUUAGAUACCCUGGUAGUCCACGCCCUAAACGAUGACAAUUAGCUGUUGGCCCCAUUAAGGGGUGAGUAGCGAAGCUAAGGCGUGAAAUUGUCCGCCUGGGGAGUACGGUCGCAAGAUUAAAACUCAUAGGAAUUGAUCGGGGACCCGCACAACCGGUGGAUGAUGUGGAUUAAUUAGAUGCAACGCGAAGAGCCUCAUUUGCUCUUGACAUGUACAGAAGGUCUUAGAGAUAAGUCGGUGCUUUCUGGAACAGUAACACAGGUGCUGCAUGGCUGUCGUCAGCUCGUGCCGUGAGAUGUUGGGUUAAGUCCCGCAACGAGCGCAACCCUUGUCAUUAGUUGCCAUCAUUAAGUUGGGCACUCUAAUGAGACCGCCGGUGAUAAUCCGGAGGAAGGUGGGGAUGAUGUCAAGUCAUCAUGGCCCUUAUGUCCAGGGCUUCACACGUCAUACAAUGGUAGGUACAGAGGGUAGCGAAGCGGCGACGUGGAGCCAAUCUCAGAAAGCCUAUUGUAGUCCGGAUGGUAUUCUGCAAUUGGAUUACAGGAAGUGGGAAUCGUUAGUAAUCGCAGAUCAGCAUGUUGCGGUGAAUACGUUCCCGGGUCU